This is a long non-coding RNA of Hemiscyllium ocellatum (epaulette shark), 1359 nucleotides long. RefSeq lists it as uncharacterized. NCBI's taxonomy places the organism in Eukaryota, Metazoa, Chordata, Chondrichthyes, Orectolobiformes, Hemiscylliidae. The transcript has 2 exons. The record is from RefSeq and is a predicted model, not a curated record.
AGAGUCGAUUAAAGUGUAAUGCUGGAAAAAGCACGGUCGGUACUUUUUCCAGUGCCACACUUUAUCGACUCUUGAUUUCUCCAACAUCUGCAGUCCUCACUAUCUCCUAGUUGUAACAGGUAAUCAGGCAUGCAAGUGAUAGAUACUGGACCGUUAUUUCAAGGAGAUGUGAGCACAGGAGUCAGGAAGUCUUGCUGUAACUGUCUCUGAAGUACUGUGAGCAGUUCUCUUUAUUUCAGGACAGAUAUUUUUUUACCGGGGGGGUGCGGGGCAGUUCCGAGAAGGAUUAUUAGGACCAUCCCUGGUGUGGAUAAUUGUCCUGUGACUGUGCUGUACACCUCUGUAACUCUCUGACCGAAUAGGUGCUGUUUCCCCGCAUCGUCUCACAAACACAGAGGUCCCAAUUUAAGACUGAACCAACGAACUAACUAUUCUUUCAUAGUCACAAAGUCCGACAGCACGAAAACAGAUCCUUCGGUUUAACCAGUCCAGGCCGACCAUAUUCCCAAGCUAAACUUAGUCCCUCCUGACUUCUUCUGGCCCCUAUCCCUCCAAACCUUAUUUAUCCAAAUAUCUUUUAAAUGUUGUAACUGUGCCCGCAAUCCUCUACCUCCUCUGGAAGUUCAUUCCACACACAAACCACUCUCUGGGUAAAACAGAAUUGACCCCUCAUGUCUGUUUUAAAUCUUCCUUGGCGUACUUUAAAAAUAUGCCCUCUAGUUUUGAAAGGCCCCACUCAAAGGCCUUUCCCUUAUCUGUAUCCCACGUGAUUUUGCAAAACUCUUUAUCAGGUCACCCUUCAACCCCCUACGUUCCAGUGAAAGAAAACUCCUGGCCUCUCCUUCCAACUCAAACUCUCCAGGCCCGGAAGCAUCCUGAGUUUCACGGAUUAUUAGAAGACGGAGAUUUGGAGUCGGGAAAACUCGAACGUCUCUCGGCAGCUGGGCAGGAUCAGACUUGGAGAUGGCGGUGAACGGCGCUGCCCGCACUGAGGAGAAACCUGCAAAAGCACCAGCGGACCCACACGGACAAACAAACCUCUGCAAUGUUCCCCCCGCCCCAGUGCAGAAAAUUCCGCAAAGCUUCGUGGGAACUGAUGCCCUCACACGAGACUGUUUUGACUGCCCCAGUGGGUAGAGGCGAUCAGGAGAGAAUUUCCAAUUAGCGCACACUAUCAAGAAGCCAGCGGGUUCACAACAAGCUCGUAGAAUUAGAUUCUGCCAUUAGUCACAUAUAGGACUGAACUAUGGUUUAUUGGAGUUGGUGGUCUGCCGAUGUUAAGAAAAGUCUCAUGCUUAGUUACAGGGGGUUAAUAUUAUAGAUUAAACCCAAAUUAAUUAUCUUUAUUCCCCCCAGCAA